This 1080-nucleotide ribosomal RNA is filed under the name Triticum aestivum (bread wheat). RNAcentral describes it as "partial small subunit ribosomal RNA". Lineage: Eukaryota; Viridiplantae; Streptophyta; Magnoliopsida; Poales; Poaceae. The record is from RNAcentral.
AUGGCCUCCAAACAGACGGCUCCGAUUAUGAAUCAAGGACAAGGGGAAACUAGCUAUGCUCACAACUCUAGUAUUCAGAACGCUGAGCAGAACAAGAUGAAAUCCUUGAUUGAAGCGGUCGUCGUUGAAUUAUGCAGCAACACCGGCACCUUGCAGCCUGGGAAGAUGGUAAUCGUGGACUUGGGCUGCUCCACUGGUCCAAACGCGCUUGCACUGGUAUCGAUUGCUGUCGAGGCGAUCCACGCUCACUGUCUUCAGUUCCAGCAACCAUCACCAGAAGUGUCUGUGCUCCUCAAUGAUCUUCCUGAGAACGACUUCAACACGGUGGUGAAGAGCCUAGUCACGCUACGUCAAAGCAACGAUCCUGUUGUUGUGACCGGUAUCACGCCAGGGUCGUUUUAUGAGCGGCUCUUCACUAGUGAAUCUGUGCAUCUUGUUUGCUCGUCCAAUAGCUUGCAUUGGCUCUCAAAGGCUCCAGAAGAUCUUAAAACGAAUCUCAUCCCAGCAUAUGACAUUGAUGAGCAUUCUAGGCAUGAAAGGCUUCCUAUAGUGCUUGAGGCUUAUGCAAAACAAUACAGGAAAGAUUUCACACUUUUUCUGAAGCUGAGAGCCAAAGAGUUGGUCUCAGGAGGCCGAAUGAUUAUUUCGCUGCUAGGGAGGCGUUCUGAUAUAAUCGCCACCAAAUUCCCUUUCCUUCCAGAAAUUGUAGCUCAGAUUCUAUGUGUCAUGGUCUCAGAGGGUGUGAUCGACAAAGAAAAGUUUGAUUCCUUUUAUGGGCUAAUGCAUGAACCUUCGCUUGAAGAGCUGAGAGAGAUCAUCCAAGAAGAGGGCUCCUUUUCAAUCAGGGAGAUGCGGGAGCAUGACCCUAGAACCGAUAUAAAUAAGACUCUCAGCACCCCAGGCAUAUUCGCGGGAUUUCUGAGAUCUUUGUUUGAGCCGGUAAUAGUCCAACAUUUUGGAUAUGUCAUGGAUGAAUUCGUGAGGACCGUGGAGCGGCGGUAUAUCCUAGAGGGAAGCUUGCAAGAGGAGCGCGCCAAAUGCCCUUAUGUUAUGCUGGUCGUAUCCCUCACAAAGGCAUGA